UCGUGUCGUGAGAUGUUCGGUUAAGUCCGGCAACGAGCGCAACCCACAUCCUUAGUUGCCAGCAGUUCGGCUGGGCACUCUAGGGAAACUGCCCGUGAUAAGCGGGAGGAAGGUGUGGAUGACGUCAAGUCCUCAUGGCCCUUACGGGUUGGGCUACACACGUGCUACAAUGGCAGUGACAAUGGGUUAAUCCCAAAAAACUGUCUCAGUUCGGAUUGGGGUCUGCAACUCGACCCCAUGAAGUCGGAAUCGCUAGUAAUCGCGUAACAGCAUGACGCGGUGAAUACGUUCCCGGGCCUU
This 300-nucleotide ribosomal RNA is filed under the name uncultured bacterium. RNAcentral describes it as "bacterial SSU rRNA". It matches the Rfam family "Bacterial small subunit ribosomal RNA", at positions 1060 to 1382 of the family's 1533-position model. The record is from RNAcentral.